GAGUCUUCUGCCUCAGCCUCAGUAGUAGCUGGGAUUACAGAUAGAGUACCAAAGAUAUAAUUUGAAGAGAGGAAACACAGUAACACUGCAUUUUUAUAUAAAAUAUGAUACCUUUUGAUUGGAAAAAUAACCAGCCAAAAAUAAAAAGAAAACAAUUCAUGUAUCUCAAAAAUAAAAUGGUUCUAGGUUGGAGGCGUUAGCAGCAUUUUGGCUGGGGUAUAUGGGAGGCAAUAUGGAAACCAUCAAACUUGUUCUCACGUCAUUCUGCAAGUCCUGGUGUCCUGAGGUAGGCUGACUUCUUCUUUCCACCAUCCAGAGUCUUUCUGUCUUUGCUUGUUGUGUUUUGUCCAGGAUAUUUUAAUUGUAAGAAGGAGUAGCUGGGAGGAAUGAGCCUAUGCCAUGUUGGCUGGAACUAAAAGUUCGUAGUAAUUUACUUUUCACACAUGGCAAUUUUCAAGAAAAUAAUAAGUGGAAAGAUUCCCAUCUUAUGCACAGGUGAUAUUUCAUAAGGAAGUUAAAAUUUUUCCUGUGAUAUUCUUGACAAAAUAUUCCUCUUGAAAAAAUGUUGACUUUAUUUCAA
Molecule: long non-coding RNA, 580 nt
Filed under: Homo sapiens (human)
Lineage: Eukaryota; Metazoa; Chordata; Mammalia; Primates; Hominidae
Description: HSALNT0342986
Source: RNAcentral